CAAUAGCGUAUAUUUAAGUUGUUGCAGUUAAAAAGCUCGUAGUUGGAUUUCGGUUGAGAACGGCCGGUCCGCCGUUUGGUGUGCACUGGCUGGUUUCAACUUCCUGUAGAGGACGCGCUCUGGCUUCACGGCUGGACGCGGAGUCUACGUGGUUACUUUGAAAAAAUUAGAGUGUUCAAAGCGGGCUUACGCUUGAAUAUUUCAGCAUGGAAUAACACUAUAGGACUCCUGUCCUAUUUCGUUGGUCUCGGGACGGGAGUAAUGAUUAAGAGGAACAGUUGGGGGCAUUCGUAUUUCAUUGUCAGAGGUGAAAUUCUUGGAUUUAUGAAAGACGAACUUCUGCGAAANCANNNGCCAAGGAUGUUUUCAUNAA
This 373-nucleotide ribosomal RNA is filed under the name uncultured eukaryote. RNAcentral's name for it is "partial 18S ribosomal RNA". It matches the Rfam family "Eukaryotic small subunit ribosomal RNA", at positions 592 to 976 of the family's 1831-position model. The record is from RNAcentral.